GAUGGAGAACGUAGCGAAAUGCGAUAAGUAAUGUGAAUUGCAGAAUCCAGUGAAUCAUCGAAUCUUUGAACGCACAUUGCGCCCGCCAGCAUUCUGGCGGGCAUGCCUGUUCGAGCGUCAUUUCAACCCUCGACCUCCCUUUGGGGAAGUCGGCGUUGGGGACCGGCAGCACACCGCCGGCCCUGAAAUGGAGUGGCGGCCCGUCCGCGGCGACCUCUGCGUAGUAAUCCAACUCGCACCGGAACCCCGACGCGGCCACGCCGUAAAACACCCAACUUCUGAACGUUGACCUCGAAUCAGGUAGGACUACCCGCUGAACUUAAGCAUAUCAAUAAGCGGAGGA
RNAcentral lists this unclassified non-coding RNA (343 nucleotides) under soil metagenome. Its description in RNAcentral is "partial contains 5.8S ribosomal RNA, internal transcribed spacer 2, and large subunit ribosomal RNA". The stretch from base 1 to 120 matches the Rfam family "5.8S ribosomal RNA", at positions 35 to 154 of the family's 154-position model. The record is from RNAcentral.